AGUCGAGCGAACAGACGAGGAGCUUGCUCCUCUGACGUUAGCGGCGGACGGGUGAGUAACACGUGGAUAACCUACCUAUAAGACUGGGAUAACUUCGGGAAACCGGAGCUAAUACCGGAUAAUAUAUUGAACCGCAUGGUUCAAUAGUGAAAGACGGUUUUGCUGUCACUUAUAGAUGGAUCCGCGCCGCAUUAGCUAGUUGGUAAGGUAACGGCUUACCAAGGCGACGAUGCGUAGCCGACCUGAGAGGGUGAUCGGCCACACUGGAACUGAGACACGGUCCAGACUCCUACGGGAGGCAGCAGUAGGGAAUCUUCCGCAAUGGGCGAAAGCCUGACGGAGCAACGCCGCGUGAGUGAUGAAGGUCUUCGGAUCGUAAAACUCUGUUAUUAGGGAAGAACAAAUGUGUAAGUAACUAUGCACGUCUUGACGGUACCUAAUCAGAAAGCCACGGCUAACUACGUGCCAGCAGCCGCGGUAAUACGUAGGUGGCAAGCGUUAUCCGGAAUUAUUGGGCGUAAAGCGCGCGUAGGCGGUUUUUUAAGUCUGAUGUGAAAGCCCACGGCUCAACCGUGGAGGGUCAUUGGAAACUGGAAAACUUGAGUGCAGAAGAGGAAAGUGGAAUUCCAUGUGUAGCGGUGAAAUGCGCAGAGAUAUGGAGGAACACCAGUGGCGAAGGCG
Molecule: ribosomal RNA, 681 nt
Filed under: uncultured Staphylococcus sp.
Lineage: Bacteria; Bacillati; Bacillota; Bacilli; Caryophanales; Staphylococcaceae
Description: bacterial SSU rRNA
Rfam family: Bacterial small subunit ribosomal RNA
Source: RNAcentral